GAGCUCAGUUGGUUAUAGAGUGUGAUGCUGAUGACACCAAGGUUGUAGGUUCGAUACCUGUAUGGAACA
This is a non-coding RNA of Podarcis lilfordi (Lilford's wall lizard), 69 nucleotides long. The record is from the annotation of a GenBank genome assembly. NCBI's taxonomy places the organism in Eukaryota, Metazoa, Chordata, Lepidosauria, Squamata, Lacertidae.